CCUACGGGUGGCAGCAGUGGGGAAUCUUCCGCAAUGGGCGAAAGCCUGACGGAGCAACGCCGCGUGAUCGAAUGAAGGCCUUCGGGUUGUAAAGAUCUGUUGUCAGGGACGAAUAAGCAAUGCAAAUAGUUUUGUGUAUGACGGUACCUGUUUAGAAAGCUCCGGCUAACUACGUGCACGCAGCCGCGGUAAAAAGUAUGGAGCAAGCGUUGUCCGGAUUUACUGGGCGUAGAGGGCGCGUAGGUGGGCGCGUAAGUCAGGUGUGAAAACCCCGCGCUCAACCUGGAGACUGCAAUUGAAACUGGGUGUCUUGAGAGCAGGAGAGGAAAGUGGAAUUCCUAGUGUAGCGGUGAAAUGCGUAGAUAUUAGGAGGAACACCAGUGGCGAAGGCGACUUUCUGGACUGUACCUGACGCUGAGGCGCGAAAGCGUGGGUAGCGAACGGGAUUAGAUACCCGUGUAGUC
Molecule: ribosomal RNA, 464 nt
Filed under: uncultured bacterium
Lineage: Bacteria
Description: partial 16S ribosomal RNA
Rfam family: Bacterial small subunit ribosomal RNA
Source: RNAcentral